GAGUGGGAUUCCGUGGGGGAUUUGCACAGAAGGACUCAACCCACUUCUGCUGUACUUGAAUGGAUGUGGAAUUUGUAGAAAGAUUCUGAAUGCUCCAACUAAUCGAACAGGAAGCAGGAUAAAGGCUGGCGUUCGUACUUGAAGAUUGCAAAUGUUGAUUCCCCAUUUCUCAGGUUGAGCCUUUUUCUUCUGAAUAGAGGCUUUCGGACAUCAAUGGCCACCCGAACCCAUAGACAACCCCCCAUCCCAGCCAUAGAAAACAAAUG
Molecule: long non-coding RNA, 266 nt
Filed under: Carica papaya (papaya)
Lineage: Eukaryota; Viridiplantae; Streptophyta; Magnoliopsida; Brassicales; Caricaceae
Description: long non-coding RNA (CPAP_LNC015491)
Source: RNAcentral